CCAGGUGACUUGACACAGAGUUCAAGCUCUUUCCCAGAUGUGCCUUAUCUCAGAGAUCCAAAACCUAACCAAGAGCAUGAGUGACUGUGAUUCGACCCUAAAGACCAGGCACAGGGCUGGGCCUGCCUAAGUUCUGCCGGUGGUAACUGUCUUCUGAUCACGCUACAAGCCGCCAUCUGUAGGCAUGCCUCGUGAUCCAUGCUAAGCCACGGGACCAGGCUUCCCCAUCCUUGAGAACCGGCUUGGCUGGCUGUCUGAUGAACCAGAGAUCCAUGGGAAGGAAGGUCCGGAGGGCUGCAGUCCUCAUCCCUGAGACCACAGUCGACACCAGGACCUCUCAAGCCCUCCGAAGGAAAAGAACUCCAGCGGAGCCACUAAUCCUAGAGUCAACAGACAACCUGGCUGAGCAGCUUCCCUGGAGGUCUUGUUAAACAGUUGUACCGAGAUUUCCUGGUGCAGCCUCCCAGCCAUACAUAGAAGAUGGUGUCACCAGACUUCCCAGCCAUACAUAGAAGACAGUGUCACCAGACUUCCCAGCCAUACAUAGAAGACAGUAUCACCAGACUUCCCAGCCAUACCUAGAAGACAAUGUCACCAGACUUCCCAGCCAUACCUAGAAGACAAUGUCACCAGACUUCCCAGCCAUACCUAGAAGACAAUGUCACCAGACUUCCCAGCCAUACCUAGAAGACAAUGUCACCAGACUUCCCAGCCAUACCUAGAAGACAAUGUCACCAGACUUCCCAGCCAUACCUAGAAGACAAUGUCACCAGACUUCCCAGCCAUACCUAGAAGACAGUGUCACAGCAGACCUCCUUGUCCUUUGGCUCUUCCGUCCUCAGUGUCCCUGAGCCUUAGGGCAGGGACUGUGUUGCAGAUGUGAAACAAGGCCUGGCAUCCCGCCUCACUUCCACUAACUGUGGCUUUCUGCAAUGGUCUCUGUCUGCUGCUUAAUAAAU
Long non-coding RNA from Mesocricetus auratus (golden hamster), 959 nucleotides. RefSeq lists it as uncharacterized. Lineage: Eukaryota; Metazoa; Chordata; Mammalia; Rodentia; Cricetidae. The record is from RefSeq and is a predicted model, not a curated record. The transcript has 4 exons.